AUACGUAGGGGACGAGCGUUGUCCGGAAUUACUGGGCGUAAAGGGCGCGCAGGCGGAUAUUUAAGUCAGCUGUAAAAGGCAUGAGCUCAACUCAUGUAUGCGGUUGAAACUGGGUAUCUAGAGUGCUGGAGAGGUAGGCGGAAUUCCCGGUGUAGCGGUGAAAUGCGUAGAUAUCGGGAAGAACACCAGUGGCGAAGGCGGCUUACUGGCCAGCAACUGACGCUGAGGCGCGAAAGCCAGGGGAGCGAACGGGAUUAGAUCCCCCGGUAGUCCUGGCCGUAAACGAUGAAUGCUAGGUGUGGGUGUCGAGAGGCAUCCGUGCCGGAGUUAACGCGAUAAGCAUUCCGCCUGGGGAGUACGAUCGCAAGAUUGAAACUCAAAUGAAUUGGCGGGG
This 394-nucleotide ribosomal RNA is filed under the name uncultured bacterium. RNAcentral describes it as "partial 16S ribosomal RNA". It matches the Rfam family "Bacterial small subunit ribosomal RNA", at positions 523 to 918 of the family's 1533-position model. The record is from RNAcentral.